CGCCUUUUGAACUACAAACAUAAAAGGUCCUGCCUGCCCAGUGACACUUGUUUCAACGGCCGCGGUAUCAUGACCGUGCAAAGGUAGCGUAAUCACUUGUCUUUUAAAUAAAGACCAGUAUGAAUGGCAAGACGAAACCUAACUGUCUCCCUAAGUUAGUCAAUAAAAUUGAUCUUCCCGUGCAGAAGCGGGAAUAAUAAUAUAAGACGAGAAGACCCUGUGGAGCUUCAAACUUAAACUAACAAACUAUAAAUGCCUUAGCACAAGUUUUGGGUUGGGGCGACCAUGAGGUAAAAUAUAACCCUCAAGACAAAAACUAAGAAGGACACUUCAAAUAAAUAAAAUAAUGUAAUUGACCCAAUAAUUGAUCAACGGACCAAGUUACCCCAGGGAUAACAGCGCAAUCUACUCAAAGAGCCCUUAUCGAAGAGCAGGUUUACGACCUCGAUGUUGGAUCAGGACUCCCAAAUAAUGCAACAGUUAUUAAAGGUUCGUUUGUUCAACGAUUAAAGUCCU
This 516-nucleotide ribosomal RNA is filed under the name Pseudoeurycea juarezi. RNAcentral's name for it is "partial 16S ribosomal RNA". It matches the Rfam family "Bacterial large subunit ribosomal RNA", at positions 1816 to 2597 of the family's 2925-position model. Lineage: Eukaryota; Metazoa; Chordata; Amphibia; Caudata; Plethodontidae. RNAcentral also lists the same sequence under 1 other name. The record is from RNAcentral.